AACAGGACACGAACCGGUGCUGGUCCAUGGCUUGGGUGUUGGGGACCAUUGGCCUACUGUAUUCAGCACAGUGACAUGCUGCACAGAACUGUCGGCACCGCAGCAUUAUUAUCACUGCAGCUACCACUGGAGAUGGCUACAGACACCAGAAACGGAAGAGCACCUCUCCCCUCCUCCGGCAGUGUGACUUUCAGUCGGCUCCUCUCGUAGCCAGAUGGUAUAGAAAUGACACACCAAUGUCCUUCAGAACAUACAUGCAAAAUAGUUUAAAUAUACUAGAAAUUCUAUUCCCCUUAGAAAACUAAGUCCACCUACAUAUUUUUCAAAAAUCCAUCAGCAAUACAGAAUAAAGGCAUUGGUUCUAUA
Molecule: long non-coding RNA, 366 nt
Organism: Homo sapiens (human)
Lineage: Eukaryota; Metazoa; Chordata; Mammalia; Primates; Hominidae
Exons: 2
Source: RefSeq, a predicted model, not a curated record